AUGAACGCUGGCGGCGUGCCUCAUCCCUGCAAGUCGAGCGCACAGACGAGGAGCUUGCUCCUCUGACGUUCGCGGCGGACGGGUGAGUAACACGUGGAUAACCUACCUAUAAGACUGGGAUAACUUCGGGAAACCGGAGCUAAUACCGGAUAAUAUAUUGAACCGCCUGGUUCAAUAGUGAAAGACGGUUUUGCUGUCACUUAUAGAUGGAUCCGCGCCGCAUUAGCUAGUUGGUAAGGUAACGGCUUACCAAGGCAACGAUGCGUAGCCGACCUGAGAGGGUGAUCGGCCACACUGGAACUGAGACACGGUCCAGACUCCUACGGGAGGCAGCAGUAGGGAAUCUUCCGCAAUGGGCGAAAGCCUGACGGAGCAACGCCGCGGGAGUGAUGAAGGUCUUCGGAUCGUAAAACUCUGUUAUUAGGGAAGAACAAAUGUGUAAGUAACUAUGCACGUCUUGACGGUACCUAAUCAGAAAGCCACGGCUAACUACGUG
This 496-nucleotide ribosomal RNA is filed under the name uncultured bacterium. RNAcentral describes it as "partial 16S ribosomal RNA". It matches the Rfam family "Bacterial small subunit ribosomal RNA", at positions 29 to 507 of the family's 1533-position model. The record is from RNAcentral.